This 216-nucleotide unclassified non-coding RNA is filed under the name Hevea brasiliensis (rubber tree). The record is from RNAcentral. Lineage: Eukaryota; Viridiplantae; Streptophyta; Magnoliopsida; Malpighiales; Euphorbiaceae.
GGAGCAUUACGCAUCAAACAACGGAAAUACGAAAAAAAAUGGCUAUAUAUCAGUGAAACAAUAGUGGAAAGCUAAUGAACUUGUCAGCUUAGUUUCAUCUAUACAUACUCAUAGAAGGCCACCUCAGGCUGUUAUUUAAAAUUCUCAUUACAUUUCUUAGAACUUCCGAAAACCAAGUAACUACCUUCUGAAUUUCGGGGAAUAUUUUGAUAGAGC